UCAAAAUAGCUCAGUCAGUAGAGCAUGAGAGACUUAAUCUCAGAGUCAUGGGUUUGAGUCCCAUGCUGGGCAAAA
Molecule: non-coding RNA, 75 nt
Organism: Podarcis lilfordi (Lilford's wall lizard)
Lineage: Eukaryota; Metazoa; Chordata; Lepidosauria; Squamata; Lacertidae
Source: the annotation of a GenBank genome assembly